AAAAAGAUUGCACGACCCCCUAACACAAAACCAUCAUGAUCCCUCGCAAUAAUCCCAAUGCCUACAACUGAGUAAAAAACCGCCGCAUCGACAUUAAUCUUAAUGACUUCAUUCGGAGGCUUGGUCCACCUAUGGGACCUAAGGGCCUAGGGUUCAUCGGGGCAUGCGAUAAAUUAUGGAUCCUGAAAUCAUCCCCCAAAGUUCUCGCCUACUCCCAGACAACCUGAGUAUCAUCCUCCUUGCCCCAAAAUAUUCCAACUAAUACUUGGCUCUUGGAUCAGGGGGUUCAAUGUAGCUUGGCCUGCAAUCUUGUUCAGAAAUAAAACGCAUGCUCUUUUAAGAUGUGUUAAGGCUGCUGCUGUUUGGUGUUUAUGGGGGAAGCUAUGGAGUAUUACAUUAGGUUCUUAUCUGAACUAUUUCAUUGAUUUAUUAAGGAACUACGAGGUCGAUAUAUUGGAAGAAUUAUGUGCUAUUAGUUGGAAAUUAUGUCCUAAUUGCAAUUGAACUAUAGUUUUUUUUUUCCAAAUUAAACUGAAUUUUAGCCCUAUUUUCCCUAUUUCUUCUUCCUUUUCUUCUUCAUAUAUUUCUUUGCAAAUUAUUUUCUUUUCAUUGCUGAAACUAUUAUUUCUUUCCGAAUCAAAAUCUAUUCUUGGUUUAAGUCGUUUUUCAACCGAUUUCAUAAUCGCCAUUAGAAACGUUCUUAAUCCUAACUAAGAAUCGGUAACUAAGCUUCAAUCUCAAUACUUAUCUUGAAAUUCUACAAAAUUUCUGCCUAUUGAUAAUCUUACAAUCGAUAAAAAAAUCUUCCUCAAUUUUUUAUCGAAUCUUCCAUUAAUCUUGUUAAAAUCAUAAAAUCCAUUAUUAAUUAUUGCAUAAAUAUUGUUUGAUGGACCUAAUUUAGGUACCCCUGAUUUAGGUACCCCGGACUAGACUUGAAUGCAAGGAACGUCGGUCGAGAUCUCGAAGACAUGUGUAUGUUCUUUUACAAGUAAAUCGGGGCAAAAUCGUGCUUAGGGUAGGGCCAACGGGCAUUUGGGCCACACGUGUGGACCACACGACCAUGUCUCCUUUGAAACCUUAGGCUAGUUCUUGAACCACACGGCCAAGACCUCUCCACACGACUUGCUACAUAGUUGUGUCUCCCUUGAAGCUUAAUUUUGCAUUUUCCACACGGCCAUAGUCUGUCACAUGACCUAGCCACACAGCCGUGUAACCCCUCCACAUGGUUUAGGGUGUUUCACACGGUCCGGUCACACAGCCACGUGUCUCUUGUUUAUCAUAUUUUACAAUUUUACCCCAAAAUUUUAUGAUUUGUUCAAUUUAGUCACUGAAUGGUUUCCAAACUAUUUUAAUAAUUUAUUUAAUUAAGUCCCUGAUAAUUAGAACCCAUAAUCUGAUUAACUGAAUUACUAUAAUAUUUAUAUAUUUGCAUAAAUAGUGAAAAAUACAUAUGUUUAUUUAUCUGUUUUUUUAUUGAUCGUAAAACAUGCCUUAUGUUGUCGUUAAAUCAAACUCAUGAAAAACAUGACUAUUGCUUCUAAAUUGCUAUGUUAUAAGCAUAUUAAUUGCUACCAUAAUGAUUUGUAUUAAGUAUGCCACAUUGCAUUGCAUGGGGUGAGACGAUGUGAACGGAGGAAGUUUGACAGUUUAUCUGCUGAAAUAUUUGUUGUGUAUUCAUAGCUAAAGGCAGAUUCCAUCUACGAGUACUUGUGUAUUCACAGCUAGAGGCAAAUUCUAUCUGUGGAUUUUUUGCUGUGUAAAUCACAGUCAUAGGCAGAUUUCAUCUGUGAGACAUUUGUUCUGUACCCCCAACUAGAGGCAGGUUCCAUCUGUGGGGAUCUUUGUUGUGUGUCAACAACCAUUGACAGUUUAUAUGCAAACCAGUAGUGGCUAAGACACAACCCGGUGUGUUGGAGGUUGGAGUUUGGGGGAACUCCUAUUGUGGUGUAUAGCGAUUGGGUAGGAUAUUUUCUAUUAAAACAGAAAUUGUAUGACAUCUAUGAAAACAUAUGCAUACAAAACUGGAAAUUCUGAGAUGACUUAUAUACAUAUAUAUAUGGUUGAGGAAUCAACAUUUUGAAAUUUCUAUUGUGAGUUUUUUGAUCUUAACGAUGGUUAAAUUGAAAAAUUGAUACUCUGAACUAUUGUUUGAUUGUGAUUAUUUUAUGUGAUAUUAUUUAAUAUGUCCUACCGACUGUUUGUACUAAUUUUCUUAUGAUUUAACUCACACUGAGCGUCAUAACUCACUCCCCCUUAUAUUUUCAUCAUUACAGGUAACUCACCAGGUUAGGACGCAGACGCGACAUCCAAAGGGUUUGGGCUUGGCUUAUUUACUAUAAUAUUUUUACUUAUUAUUUGAUAUUUUAUCAUUCAGAAAUUGUAUUAUUUUAUUUCAAACAGUGGCAAUAGGCAUUAGGAUGGUUGUUUUUAUUUAUAGCUUGCAUGACAUUUGAUUUAAUUUUAGGAUAUCUAAUUAUGAUUACUAAAUAGUAUAGUAUACACGAACCACAGUUUUUAUUAAAAUAAUAAGCAUACAUCACUUUUCC
Molecule: long non-coding RNA, 2546 nt
Filed under: Gossypium barbadense (sea-island cotton)
Lineage: Eukaryota; Viridiplantae; Streptophyta; Magnoliopsida; Malvales; Malvaceae
Description: long non-coding RNA (GBAR_LNC009330)
Source: RNAcentral